GAGCUAUCUAACCAGCCCAUAAAGUUGUUUCUUAAUUAUACCUGUCUGCUAUGCCUGUGUAGCAGCCAGGGAUGCUUGGUCUCAUACAU
Molecule: small nucleolar RNA, 89 nt
Filed under: Octodon degus (degu)
Lineage: Eukaryota; Metazoa; Chordata; Mammalia; Rodentia; Octodontidae
Description: Small nucleolar RNA SNORA63 (ENSODEG00000022657.1)
Source: RNAcentral